This 2070-nucleotide long non-coding RNA is filed under the name Panax ginseng (ginseng). RNAcentral describes it as "long non-coding RNA (PGIN_LNC016567)". Lineage: Eukaryota; Viridiplantae; Streptophyta; Magnoliopsida; Apiales; Araliaceae. The record is from RNAcentral.
UCUCACUAACAUUGGGCAAAGGUGCACAAAUGUCCCAAAUAAUAUUUUUUCGAUAUCAUACUUUUGUCCUAUAUUUUUUUCCUACAAAAGUACACCUAAUUUUACCAAUUUUAAUUCAACUGUGCCCAUGACUCUUAACGAAUAUGCCACCGAAACUAACAUGACUGACACGUAAUGGCCAAAAUAAUAUUUAAUAAACAAAAUAUUUCGCAUAUGCAUCACCGCCUCCUUCCUCUAUUUUCUCCAUCUCUUGAUCGAUCCUUUGCACCACCACCACUGUCUCCAUUUUCAAAGUUUCUAGCAAACUUAAUGAAUACUUUUUCUUAAUACCAGAACCCCCAUGACCAAAACCUAUGAAAAUCCACUUGCCAAAUUCUUCUAUAACUUGACCCAAUUCAAAUAUUUCAACAAAUUGACAAUGAAAUUGUGGAAAAUCCCGGCUACUGAUUCAGACCCACAACAACGUUUGUUCCUAAAGUCCAAUAAUUGAGUAGUGGGUACUCUGUAUAUCUCCAACGUGACUUGUCGGUCGGAGUUGCCAAAAUAUUGAUCGGUCGUUUAAAAUUGAUCUCCAACAGUUAAAAUAGAAACCCAAAGAACAAUCGUUUAAACAUUAACCAUGAAAAUGCCUGCAUAGGGGUACCAUUUUCUUUUGAUGGAGGUGCAGAAGAUUCAUCCAUCCCUGAAUCUAGUGAACGGGUCGAGAUCGAUGAAUUAACAGGAGCAACAGUGAUAGUGGGGGACUGUAGACGAAGAAUUGGGUGCAGCAGAGACGUGCGUGCUUUGUAGAACGCGUGGUUGCACCAGAUGCAGAAGAAGAAGGGCCUAAUGAGGUGACCUCCGUCCGCUUCCGCUUUGAGUUUCCAUACAACCCAACCCCCUUAAAAUCACUAAUUUAAUCGUUGAUUAUCAACGAUCAAACACCUAUGAUUUGCAAGUUCUCAUCAUCCCAAAACCCUGUAUUUUCUAAUUGCACAGAUAAAAAUUGAAUAUUUACCGAUUACAAACCCUAGAAUCUGCACGAACACCAAAUCAAAAAUUGCAAUUAAAAACCCUAAGUCAAAAAAAAUCAAAUCUUCUACUAGAAUCUGCACAUUAAAGCAAUCCCCCAUUACAAUCAAAAUAACAAAAUUUAUAAAUGAAUUAUCAGGUAUAUAAAAUUUAUCCUCUAGACCUAGUGAUGAUGUACUUAGAGCCUUGAAGGUUGUAAACAUUGAAGUAAAUAAAAAAAAAUCAAACUAGAAAUGUAAAAUAUAAAAAUAAAAUAAUUGAGAAACUUUUUGCUCUAUUAUUUUCUCAUUCCAUGAAAAUACAACGUCAAAUCCACCAUUGCCAGAAAUAAAACUAAGAUCUGAACAACAAAAAUAAAAAAUCCAAAUUCAUUUUACCCCAAAAGUUUCUUUUACCUUCUCCAACAACAAUCUGAACCAUUUACAUGGCCACUAUGGUAUGAAACAUCAAAACGAACCUCAGAUUUUUAGAGUUAAUAAUCAAUUAGAUGCAAAUCAAACAUUGAAAGUAAGAAGGAUUUUUUAGUGAAAUUGAGUGUUCGAAGUCGGAGGUGAAGGCUGAGGUAGAGGCGAACGAGGCGAUGGCGAUUGUGGUGGCGAUGGCGGAUCUGAAUGAGAAUUUGUGGCGGCAAACAAAUUUGUAUUGUGUUUUUGGGAGAGGAGAAGGAAGAAGAAGAGUAAAUCUUUUUUUUUGGUUUUUAGUUUUUUUUAUGUUGUGAUUCUAGAGGGAUCCGCUUGAAUGUUUGUCUAGUGUCAGUUCAGUCAAUAAAAAAUGGUCAGGUGUAACCCGAGUUAGUCAGGGGCACAACUAAUCUAAAAUUGGAAAUGUUAGGCGUAUUUUUGGGAGAAAAAAUAUAUAAGGUGAAAGUGGGACAUCAGAAAAAACGUCACAAAAUUUUUUAGACAUUUGCCCAACCAAUAUGUUUCUUUUACUAUUUCGUUUUACUAGAGCUGUAAGUAAGUAAUACCUACAUACUACUGUUACUCCAAAUUAAAAUAGAGUAAAACCUCUAUUUAGGAAUAGACUUGUGAUUAAAUUAUUUGUAUUAUAAUUGAGAGG